AUACUUACCUGGCAGGGGAGAUACCAUGAUCACGAAGGUGGUUUUCCCAGGGCGAGGCUUAUCCAUUGCACUCCAGAUGUGCUGACCCCUGCGAUUUCCCCAAAAAAAAAAAAAGAAAACUGUCUAUAGGUGC
Molecule: small nuclear RNA, 133 nt
Filed under: Castor canadensis (American beaver)
Lineage: Eukaryota; Metazoa; Chordata; Mammalia; Rodentia; Castoridae
Description: U1 spliceosomal RNA (ENSCCNG00000005925.1)
Rfam family: U1 spliceosomal RNA
About the family: U1 is a small nuclear RNA (snRNA) component of the spliceosome (involved in pre-mRNA splicing). Its 5' end forms complementary base pairs with the 5' splice junction, thus defining the 5' donor site of an intron.
Source: RNAcentral